RNAcentral lists this long non-coding RNA (232 nucleotides) under Salvia miltiorrhiza (redroot sage). RNAcentral's name for it is "long non-coding RNA (SMIL_LNC013826)". The record is from RNAcentral. Lineage: Eukaryota; Viridiplantae; Streptophyta; Magnoliopsida; Lamiales; Lamiaceae.
UUUGUUCAUUUUUAUCAAUUAUAAAUAAUUAAUUGGUAGUUCAAAAAUUGAAAAUUCAAAUGUUUUCAGAUUCAUGUGUUUAUUGAGAUUAUGUUGUUCAUAACUUCAAUUUUUUAUUGAGAUUUAUAUUUGCAUUUAUUUAUAUUUAAAUUAUUUAAUAUAUGUAUUUAUUUAUUUAAAAUAUCGUUCAAUUUCAACAUUGGUCGUGCAUCGCACGAGCGGGCAUACUAGU